This 1337-nucleotide long non-coding RNA is filed under the name Marmota monax (woodchuck). The record is from RNAcentral. Lineage: Eukaryota; Metazoa; Chordata; Mammalia; Rodentia; Sciuridae.
AAGGUCACGCUCAGCCUGUCUCAGCGCCCAGUGGCUCUCCAUGAGCCGCUUUUCAAAUGGCUGAUGACUCUCUGCUGCAGGUGGGAGCCCGGCUGCGGAGCCCACGCUGUCCAUCUCCUGCCCGGGAUUUCCAAAGACUCCCCACGGUGGCCUUCUGCACCACGGUGGACCCACAUCACUGGACGCAGAUGGCACAGCCCAGGGGCAGAGUUACCGGGUCUGGCACCUGAACCCCCUGGAGAGGAGUCCUCGCCGAGGCCCAACAGAAGUGGCACUGUCCCAGUAUCCUGACAAACGGUUUGGAGCAGUGCUUCCUGGUGUCCUUCAUGGGUCAUCUCCAAAGUCCAAAGAGGCAGAUCAAGCACUGUGCCUUUUCCUGGUGGCCGAAGACGCCGGAUAAAGUGACUCAUCUGUCUCGGAAGGACCCGCCCCUUUGAGGCUCCAAGAACCUCACUGAGGCGUCAGAUGUCAGCCUUCGAAGGGCUCGUCUGCCACCCUCUGUACCGCAGGGAGGUCUUACAAGGGACCCGGGAGACGUCCCACUUCCUGCUCAUCAGGUGUGAUGAGCACAAAAUCUUCAAUGUCCUGUGUCAGUCUGCUGCUCUACGGAGUGUCCGUGAUGAAGGUCCCUGCAAAUGCAAACUGCUGUCUUAUCUUAGGUAGCUGCAGAUCACUUCUGAUACGUCUUCCUCACGGGGCCUGCAAAGGGCAUGCUCACCCAGUCUACAGCUUCAUUCCAAAUCCCAGAGGCUGUGUUGAUCUGCUCCACUGCAGAGAGAAUGCAUGUCACGACGGCAGCUUGGGGCUACCACUGGGUCACGUUCACCGUGAUCCAUCCCCAUCGGCUAUGAUUGGGGUAGUUUUGUGAGGGCCCCAGCGGUGCAUCACACAGGGCUACGGGGGACCACCUUCCCUGCCUUCUGUAAGUGAUCAAAGGGGACACUAGCUCUGACUGACAGCCUUUGUGCUGUUGCUCCUGGUUUUCCAUCUCGUAAGUGUGUCCACCCUCAGUACUCACUCAAGGACAGAAGAAAUGUCCCCAGGACGGUUCUCCAGGCUCACGGACUUCCUGUGGAUGGAUUUGGGCUGGACUUCACUUCUCUCUUGGAUUCUGUGAACCCCCUUCUGACAGGGAGAGUCAGGAAUUUGGGGUCUCCUGGUAUGGGUGUCAGCUCUGACCCUGUUCCCAGCAGUCCUGAGAGUCCUGGCUAUUCCCCUUCCCCUGCAUCAGAGCUGUCUGAUAAAUGACCGUAAGGAAGGAUCAAGACAAUCCUGGACCAAAGGAUCACGACUUUCAAGGUCCUUCAAAUAAACCAAAUAAACCUAAUAAAUGAGCC